RNAcentral lists this ribosomal RNA (529 nucleotides) under Escherichia coli. Its description in RNAcentral is "partial 23S ribosomal RNA". It matches the Rfam family "Bacterial large subunit ribosomal RNA", at positions 1216 to 1746 of the family's 2925-position model. The record is from RNAcentral. Lineage: Bacteria; Pseudomonadati; Pseudomonadota; Gammaproteobacteria; Enterobacterales; Enterobacteriaceae.
AUGCGUUGUUGGGUAGGGGAGCGUUCUGUAAGCCUGCGAAGGUGUGCUGUGAGGCAUGCUGGAGGUAUCAGAAGUGCGAAUGCUGACAUAAGUAACGAUAAAGCGGGUGAAAAGCCCGCUCGCCGGAAGACCAAGGGUUCCUGUCCAACGUUAAUCGGGGCAGGGUGAGUCGACCCCUAAGGCGAGGCCGAAAGGCGUAGUCGAUGGGAAACAGGUUAAUAUUCCUGUACUUGGUGUUACUGCGAAGGGGGGACGGAGAAGGCUAUGUUGGCCGGGCGACGGUUGUCCCGGUUUAAGCGUGUAGGCUGGUUUUCCAGGCAAAUCCGGAAAAUCAAGGCUGAGGCGUGAUGACGAGGCACUACGGUGCUGAAGCAACAAAUGCCCUGCUUCCAGGAAAAGCCUCUAAGCAUCAGGUAACAUCAAAUCGUACCCCAAACCGACACAGGUGGUCAGGUAGAGAAUACCAAGGCGCUUGAGAGAACUCGGGUGAAGGAACUAGGCAAAAUGGUGCCGUAACUUCGGGAGAAGG